Long non-coding RNA from Myotis davidii, 384 nucleotides. RefSeq lists it as uncharacterized. The record is from RefSeq and is a predicted model, not a curated record. NCBI's taxonomy places the organism in Eukaryota, Metazoa, Chordata, Mammalia, Chiroptera, Vespertilionidae. The transcript has 2 exons.
GGGGAAACAGACCUGGACUCUGCCCCAGGGUACCCAAAGGAACCGUUGGGAUUUGUGUUAUAAGCUGCAGAGGAGAUGACUCAUGUCCCAGGGGAAUGAAAUGCUGCAGCACCGGAUGUGGCCGUCAGUGCAAACCUGCUAUCCAUGUGAAUGCUGUUGAUGACCAUGUGGAAGAACAAUGGAGGUUGUAAGCCUGCCUGGAGACCAGCCCCAGAAGAUUGCUCAUGAAUGCAUGGAUCCAGUGCUUGGCCUAAUGUUUUCCACACACCAGUCCUGGCAAGUGUCUAUCCCUUAACGUGCAGUCCCAGAAGAUAAAGAUCUAAAAUGGUGGAUUGGCCGAUUCUAAAGAGCUUGUGUCCAAAAUAAAUUUUACCUGUGGCAUUA